Molecule: unclassified non-coding RNA, 324 nt
Filed under: uncultured fungus
Lineage: Eukaryota; Fungi
Description: sequence contains ITS1
Rfam family: 5.8S ribosomal RNA (bases 1-104)
Source: RNAcentral
GAAACGCGAAAGGUAAUGCGAAUUGCAGAAUCAGUGAGUCAUCGAAUCUUUGAACGCACAUUGCGCCUCUCGGUAUUCCGGGAGGCACGCCUGUUCGAGCGCCAUUACACACCCCAAGCUCAGCUUGAUGUUGGACGCUGUCUGUGAAAGGACAGGUCUGGAACGCGUGGGCGCCGCCGCCGGACCACGAGCGUAGCAAGACGCAAGUCAUCGCUCGGUGGGCUCACACGGUGGACGGCCGUCUAGAUGCUGGGUAACAGCUGCGUCGAAAACACACGACCAAAGUUUGGCCUCGGAUCAGGCGGGGAUACCCGCUGAACUUAA